Molecule: long non-coding RNA, 15415 nt
Filed under: Fragaria vesca (wild strawberry)
Lineage: Eukaryota; Viridiplantae; Streptophyta; Magnoliopsida; Rosales; Rosaceae
Description: long non-coding RNA (FVES_LNC000195)
Source: RNAcentral
AAUGAACGGCACAAUAGGCGAAGAAGUAUUCCAGCCAUUUGGGAAGCUUGAAGCUUUUGUGGGCGAGAUUUCUAUGGAAAGAUAGAGUUAUUCCCACACCGGUGACAAAGUAAAGGGCUACACCCAACCAAAACGCAGACCAGGUGAAGUAAAAUGGUGCGAGAAGAGCAAUGAGAUGAACAACAGAAAGGGUGAUGACACUAGCGAUGUCGACGCCAUUCCAUUGUCUCCCCAGAAAAUAUACAGGCUUCUGCACCACCCAAAGUAGCCUUGCCAUCUUCUUUAAGCUAAGCUUAUAUUAUCAAAGCUGCUUUGCUAGCUUCUCUCUUCUGUAGUUGUGUGUAGAAGUAUCAGUGUUUGCACAUAUAUAUACACAAAUACAAUAUACAUAUGAAGGGGGAAGCUAGUUAUGGGAGUUGCUUGUUAGAUUGAGAUAUUGGACUUGCAUUUACUUCCUCAUGUUCUGCAGGCAACCUACCGAUGUAACGAUGCAAUAACUAUGCCUGGCUAUUUACCUGAAGACAAAUACUUGUGUGUCUUAAGAUAUAGAUAUCUUAACCACAUGGUUGCUUGGAUCAUAAACAAGAGAAGGUAGAAUGGUCCAAAAGGGAGUGGUUCAUGAUCGACAUGCAUGUGAAAAGCAGAGGGUCACUUAUUGUUCAUGUCUAGUAGGUGAAUAUAUAUACCUAAUCUGAUAAUCUAACCCACGUCUGGAAGGAUUAUUUGUGUAAAGCAAGAGGCAAAGAAACUAUGGAGCUGUUAUGGAAGUGCAGGCACGACCGAGACUCCAAACUGCAGUUGACUAUUAGAACCUCAUGCAUGUUAGUUUGUUAAUUUCUGUACACUUAUAUUUGGCUUCAGCUCCAGAAAGUUUCUUCGAAUUUGUCCUCAAAGUUUUUAUUAUAUAAAAUUCGUUUGGAAAAAAAAGAAGUGGAUUAAAGUUAUGGUGGGUGGACUGAGCGAAGAUUUCAUGAAGAACAUUAGGCGUGGUAAAGUUCAACGUGCGAGGGGUAAAGAUUUUAUGAAGAAGUUGGACAUGGUAAACUUUCUUGCUCUUGCAAAUCUUGGUCACUCAACUAUUAUUGAUGACAGGGUUCAUAGGCUUAAUCUUUCAGUGUUGCCUACUUUUAACUAUGAUUUUCAUAGCUUAAGUUGUCCUUGGAGAAUUUCUUAUAUUUAUAUGGUAUUUUUGUUAUAUAUGAAAGUAAUUUAUUUAAAGAAAAUUUUACUAGUAUAAUGUAACAAUAAAAUCAAUGUCAUACCAUCAUGUAUGAACCUAUCUUCUAGUGUCGGACAACAGAGCUAUGAACUCUCCAGUACGUAAGAGACUAGAAAAUUGGUCAUAGCGAUCAUGGAGACUCUAAAACCGACACAAUGCCAAUAAAGAUGGUAGAAUAACGCCAGGAUAACAAAUGGCUAAUGGCUGCAAACACACGAAGGAUGAAGUAGACGAAGUGGCCUAAACCCUUAUAAACCUACAUGUAAGGUCUCAUAUUCCCAAUGUGGGAUUUAUAUCUCAACACGCCCCCGCACGCAUGUGUGGCGAAUCUUCAAGUCAUACACGUGGACAACUAUUUGGGUGAUGUGGUGUUUGUGUGGCCAUUAGGCUUCACACGUGGACGUGGGUAACCCACUCUGAUACCAUGAUAAAGUAGUCUAGGGUUCACAUCUAAAACCAAUUGGUAAUGGAUGAAGUCGGCUCAAACCCUUAUAAACCCACAGAUAAGGUCUCAUAUUUCCAAUGUGGGAUUGAUAUCUUAACAGUGUGGGAUUGAUAUCUCAACAGUACAUGUGCACAAAUAUUCAACUCCGCCCUCGUGAUGAGUGAAUACACAUGAUUAUUUAAGUGAAAUACGACAUUAUUAAUUAUCACCGGUGCAUUAUGAUUAACUUUCUACAGACUACAUGAUGUUGAUGAGUUUCUAUUGGAUUCUUGUAUGAUUGAAGAGCGGAGUUCAGCUAGUCAUUCAUUUUUGACAACACCAAUCGAUACAUUUCUAGCAUAAGAAAACUUAAUAGCUAGUUAUUGCGGACUGGGGCUAUCAGGCUUUGAGCAAUAAUAAUGUACAUGACUACAUGUGGUUGCGAGCAUGCUCACAGUGUUAAUUAGGUGACUAUUGUAUCACGAUAUUUAUUUUGGUUCUUGAUUGGGUAUGGUAUGUCUGAUGGCAUUGGUCCGAAGGACACAGAAGAAUGAGAUACGAAGGAGUCAUGCAACCCUUAAGCAGCGAUGACUCUAGAUUACUUAGAAGAUGUCCAGUUACUAGGUAGCUGGAAUUGACUUGAAUGAGUUUGAUCAGAAAAAAAAAAAAAUCAAUGCGAUCUUACUGAAUCCGUGAGAAAGAUAAACUCGAUCUUAUAUUGAUAAAAUCAUGUUGAACUUAUAUGGUUCAACACAGAAACAAAAGCAAUGUUGGAAUACAGAAAAUAGAUAUAUGUAGUACUCAUACACGCUUAGGUCUCCCUUGAAUCAUUUCACUUUGGUUUCGAACCUUCCCUCCUGCUCCAUGCUACUGACUUUGUUUGAUAAAGCUUUUCGGUUUUUCUGAAGCUCAGUCGGGAGUUUAACGUCAGUUGCCAAACCAACCAUUUUAAGAAACCUUAUCAAAUACCAAGUAAUAUCGAUUUGCCACCAUUCGAAACCAUGUUGAGCUGAGUACUCAAAAGCAUGGUGAUUAUUAUGCCAACCUUCUCCAUGAGCUAGCAAUCCAAACAACCUAAACCACACAAUUUCAUAAUUAGAUUUCAUUACAUGUAGAGAAACAGAAACUAUAUAUAUAUACGAUUUGUAAUCAUAUCAAGUGCGUAUACCAGUUGUUUUUGGACAGAUCACCAGUAUCCCAUACUUGGUUUCCCCAUAUGUGGCAGAUCGAAUUUAUCGAAAGUGUUAUAUGGAGAACAAAUAUUGUUCUCACAGCCUACAAAUAAUCAAAAGAAUUAAACAUAGUUACGGAUUUGUUAAAUAGAAAGGACGAUGCAUUUAGAUAUUAGCAAAUGUAUAUAAGAGAAGUUUAAUUACCAGUGCCCAAACUAAAUAAGGCAUUCCUCCUAUGCAAUAGAACACAACUCCACAAGCAAUACAGUGAAAAGGGUAAGUGUAAUGAAGAAACCUAUAGAAGCUUUGUUUCUUCAAAUCUCCAACAUUGUAUAGUUUUCCAUCAUACUGCACAAUUUCAAAUUUAAUUAACAAUAAGUACGUGUUAAUUCAACAACAAAAUUAGGCAUGUAAUUAAUCAAGUGAGGAGAACAUGAGAUUUCUACGUACACUCCCAAAACGUUUACGAAAAUCAAAAAUCCAGCCAAUAUGACUAAACCAGAAACCCUUAAGAGGAGUAUGAGGGUCACUCGGCGUGUCUGUAAACUGGUGAUGACUCCUGUGCGAGCUAACCCAUUCUAAUGGACUUCCCUGUAAUAUAAACACCAAAAACCAACUUCAAAACUUUGUAAUGAAGAUUGUAGUAACUAAAAGUGAAAAGAAUGAAAGCUAGAGAAUAUAUGAUGAACCUGAAGUGAAUGAACGGCACAAUAGGCGAAGAAGUAUUCCAGCCAUUUGGGAAGCUUGAAGCUUUUGUGGGCGAGAUUUCUAUGGAAAGAUAGAGUUACUCCCACACCGGUGACAAAGUAAAGGGCUACACCCAACCAAAACGCAGACCAGGUGAAGUAAAAUGGUGCGAGAAGAGCAAUGAGAUGAACAACAGAAAGGGUGAUGACACUAGCGAUGUCGACGCCAUUCCAUUGCCUGCCCAGAAAAUAUAUCGGCUUCUGCACCACCCAAGGUAGCCCUGCCAUCUUCUUUAAGCUAAGCUUAUAUUAUCAAAACUGCUUUGCUAGCUUCUCUCUUCUGUAGUUGUGUGUAGAAGUAUCACUGUUUGCACACACAUAUAUAUAUAUAUAUAUAUAUAUAUAUAUACACAUAUAUACUACUACUAUACUUACUUCUUCUACUCUACUACUCUCUCUCUCUCUCUCUCUCUCUCUCUCUCUCUCUCUCUCUCUCUCUCUCUCUCUCUCUCUAACUCAAACAAUUUGAAUACUUUUGUUUAGUCGAUCUCUCUCUCUCAUCUUAUCGAUAUGUCAUUUUCUUAUCAAAAUUGAUCUCGUUGCAAGAAACUAAUUCUUCUUAUAUGCUCAAUCUUCUCACUCCUCUCACAUAGUAGGUGAAUAUUCUAAUUCAAUUCAGUUCAAAGUCUACUAGUAUCAUGAGUUAAGUCUACCAGUAACAUGAGCAAACUGACAUUAAAAAAUAGACUUUCUGAAAAAUUAUUCUUCAUAAGAUGCAAAGUCUACUAGUAACAUGAGUUAAGUCUACCAGUAACAUGAGCUAACUAGCAUACAACAAUAGACUUUCUAGAAAAUUGUUCACUCCUAAUACUGGUCACUAGUCAUCAAUCACCUUAUUGACCACGUUGUCUAACUUGUUUUCUUUUAUGUCUGUGUUUUGCACUAUUCACGCAAUAGCAACAUACACGGCUUAAAACAGACAAAAUACACGCUCAUGGUAGCGUUUAGUGAAUUUUCAAACAUUGACUAUAUAUAUGCAGUUGAUCUGCUCAUAUUAUCCUAUAUUUCUAAGCCUCUUAUGUUUGAGAGUUGUGUUUAGUUCUCUUCUUUAUAAAUUAUUUACAUUAUUUUAUUGUUUUUGUAGGUUUGUGUCGUAGAGAGAAGAAAAUGAGCUAAAAUGCGCAAAUAAGGAUUGAAAGGCCACUGCAAUCCUAAGUCUCAGAAUCCGCCUAUGCAGAACAUCCAAACUUCUCCGAAUUACCGGGAAUUACUCAGAUCAAAUCAGACUAUGAGCCUUAUAUCAUUGGAAAGCUACAUAUGUCUACUUUUUGUAGAAGUUUACGGAUCUCAAUUUCGAUACUUCUAGACCGAGUUAUGAUAGUUUGAAUGAAGAUAGGUCAGAUCAGAAAAUCUGCUCGGAUUUGCAAGCAUUUGUGGAGAACUUAAGUUCCAUGGCACAAGAUCAUCAACUCUUAUGCUUCAAGGACAAUAAUGCAGAUGAAGAUUCAAGGAGUAAAUGUAUUCCUAGUUCUAUAAUAGAUAUCUCAAGGUUUUCUCAUUCCAUAUCAAUAAUGGAGUCUGAAUCCAAGUCUUACAAAGAAACUUGAAGCCAAAGAUGAGCAAGAAAUCUCCCCUAUAUAAAGAGCACGAAUUUCAUAGAGAAGGGGCUUCCGGGGACACAUGACAUAUUUGGAAGCUGCCAUCAUCACCAACCUUUCAUUCUUUUUCCCUUUUAGCCUUUUUAUGUUUUUCAUUGUUAUCAUCAUGUUUGUUAUGACUCUUAGUAGCUAAAUCUUUUGUUAGGGUCAUAAUGGAUUAUUAGCAUGACUAUUUGAUGUUUUCAGUUGGAUGAUUACUUAUUUAUUGGAUUGAGUUUUUAAUCUCUAUAAGAAUUGUUGCUUAUUUUAAAAUACUAGAGACUUGCGACCUUUAAGGUUUUGUUUUAAGCUAUCUGAUGCAAGAGUAGGUAGAUGCCCAUGCUGAAUCUUGAAUGCUUCUUGUGAUUAAAAACCAUAGAUUGAUAAGAUAGAUGCCAUGUUUUAUUGGUUUGUGCGAGUCUUUUUGUUGUCGUCGAACUUCAUUGACCCUUAGAGAUUAGAUGUCAUACUUCUAAGAAUAGUUGGAUAUUAUACUCUACCAUAAGGUAGUAUUCAUGUCUUGGAGAACUUAUGUGUAUAAGUACUCUGCCAUAAGACUUAUAUGACUGGUUUUUCAACACCGGUUUAGUAGUUAGUAAUCGGAAGACUAGGAACUCAAAUAUAUAUGAUUGUGACAGUGAAGUUAGAAGCCCUAGCAUUCAUCCAUCAUUGUUUUACAACUUUUCAAAACAUUUUCUCAAUUAUCUUGUGUGACAUUCUCAAUUUGCUUGAUUUACUCUUUUCUUAUUGUAUACAAAAAUCACAAAAAUAUCUUCUUGUUUUCUUGUUAGUCGUUAGAGUAAUUUGGUCAUUAGUUAGAGUUGAAAGUUAGUUAUCUAUCCCUAGUUGGAACGACCUCGUAUUUGCAUAUAAGCUAUACUACAAACGAUUCGUGCACUUGCGAAGUUUUUAAAAUUUGACAACAGCAGUGUUCUAAAACAAGGUUGCCUAGGCGGCUUUUAGACGUUUUAAGUCUGCGCUUCAUCCUGAAAGCGCCAGUGAAUUUUCAAACCUUACUUGUACCAGGUUUUAAAUUGUAUAGUUUGUCGAAUCACCAUUUUAAAAUAACUUAAAGCUGGCAAAAAAACUAGCUAGAUGUGUUGGAAACUUUAAAUUGAGUAUUCUCAUGCUCGAUCCAUAAUUUUUUAAACACUAGUAGUCAAAUUUCUUCUCAAUCCUCCGAUCUCCUUGAUUACACCUUGGACAAAGUUGGAUGACAUCUUUUACAUAGUAUCGACAUGGCUUGUACACCGCAAAUUGAAUAAUAUAUUUAUGUAUUUUUAAUACAUAAAAAAUAUACUAAAAUAUGAAAUAAGUUCAUUACAUUGCCAAAAUUAUGUUCUAAAUUCAAUCUUUUUUUUCUUCUUUUUUGUCUAAAUUCAACACAUUGCAUAAGCAUAUUAAAAUAACAUUAAAGAGAAUUAAAUGGAAGUUAUUAAAGAGAAUCAAAUGACUAGUUCCGAUAUAUGUUGUAAAAAAAUUAGACAUCAACUUAAUAACACAACAACCCUCUAACACCUAAUAGACAAGAAAAUUUCAAUCAUUCCAUAAUUCAUCUAAACAUCUCUUUAUAAACUGUUAUAAACAUGAACGGUUUGAGUUCGACAAAAUUAUGUUCAUCCAUUGGUUUAAUCGAAUUUGAGUGCCUUAAUGAUAACCAAAUUAGCUGAAAUUUUGCAGAGAUGAUUUAUACGAGAUGUGAAAAUUCGAUUAAAAAGUAAGUGUAAAGCGGAAAUCCGCACAGUAAGAAUAAAUAAAGACCUCCUUAACCAAGAAAGCCUAUAUAUAUAUUAAAAAUUGAUGACGUGAUGUGUCGGAGGUUGAGGUGGCGUGUUGGACACGUGUCGGGCCGUGUCGGAGGUGUGUCGCCGUGUCAGGCGUGUCGGACACUCCGACACUCCAGAGGUGUGAAGUGUUCGUGCAACAUAGCUUUUAACUAUGAUUUUCAUAUCUAAAGUUGUUCUAGGACUCUAGGAGGUUUUCUUUGUAAUUUAUAUGGUAUUUUUCUUAUAUAUUAACUGAAAAUAAUUAAUUUAAGGAAAAAAUAAUUUACUAGUAGAAUGUAACAAUAAAAUCAAUGUUAUACCAUCAUAUAUAUAUGAACCUAUCUUCUAGUGUCGGAUAAGGGAUCUAUGAACUCUCCAGUACGUAUGAGACUGGAAAAUUGGUCACAGCGAUCAUGGAGACUCUAAAACUGACACAAUGCCAAUAAAGAUGAUAGAAUAACGUCGGUAUACCAAACGGCUAAUGAGUGAAUACACGUGAUUAUUUAAGCAAAAUACAACAUUAUUAAUUAUCACCGCUGCAUUAUGAUUAACUUUCUACAGAGUACAUGAUGUUGAUGAGUUUCUAUUGGAUUCUUGUAUGAUUGAAGAGCGGAUUUCAGCUAGUCAUUCAUUUUUGACAACACCAAUCGAUACAAUUCUAGCAUAAUAACUUAACAUAUAGCUAGUUAUUGCGGACUGGGGCUAUCAGGCUUUGAGCAAUAAUAACGUACAUGUGGUUGCGUGCAUGCUCACAGUGUAAAUUAGGUGACUAUCUAUCACGAUAUUUAUUUUGGUUCUUGAUUUGGUAUGGUAUGUCUGAUGGGUCCGAAGGACACAGAAGAAUGAAGAUACGGAGGAGUGAUACAACCCUUAAGCAGCGGUAACUCUAGAUUACUGGUUACUAGGUAGCUGGAAUUGACUUGAAUGAGUUUGAUCAAGAAAAAAAAAAAAAAAAAAAAAAAAACAAUGCGAGCUUACUGAAUCCAUGAGAAAGAUAAACUCGAUCUUAUAUUGAUAAAAUCAUGUUGAACUUAUAUGGUUCAACACAGAAACAAAAGCAAUGUUGGAAUACAGAAAAUAGAUAUAUGUAGUACUCAUACACGCUUAGGUCUCCCUUGAAUCAUUUCACUUUGGUUUCGAACCUUCCCUCCUCCAUGCUACUGAUUUUGUUUGAUAAAGCUAUUCGGUUUUUCUGAAGCUCAGUCGGGAGUUUAACGUCAGUUGCCAAACAAACCAUUUCAAGAAACCUUAUCAAAUACCAAGUAAUAUCGAUUUGCCACCAUUCGAAACCAUGUCGAGCUGAGUACUCAAAAGCAUGGUGAUUAUUAUGCCAACCUUCUCCAUGAGCUAGCAAUCCAAACAACCUAAACCACACAAUUCAUAAUUAGAUUUCAUUACAUGUAGAGAAAUAGAAACUAUAUAUAUACACUUUGUAAUCAUAUCAAGUGCGUAUACCAGUUGUUUUUGGACAAACCAGUAUCCCAUACUUGGUUUCGCCAUAUGUGGCAGAUCGAAUUUAUCGAAAGUGUUAUAUGGAGAACAAAUUUUGUUCUCACAGCCUACAAAUAAUCAAAAGAAUUAAACAUAGUUACGGAUUUGUUAAUAGAAAGGACGAUGCAUUUAGAUAUUAGCAAAUGUAUAUAAGAGAAGUUUAAUUACCAGUGCCCAAACUUAAUUAGGUAUUCCUCCUAUGCGAUAGAACACAACUCCACAAGCAAUACAGUGAAAAGGGUAAGUGUAAUGAAGAAACCUAUAGAAGCUUUGUUUCUUCAAAUCUCCAACAUUGUAUAGUUUUCCAUCAUACUGCACAAUUUCAAAUUUAAUUAACAAUAAGUACGUGUUAAUUCAACAAAAAAAUUAUGCAUGUAAUUAAUCAAGUGAGGAGAACAUGAGAUUUCUACGUACACUCCCAAAACGUUUACGAAAAUCAAAAAUCCCGCCAAUAUGACUAAACCAGAAACCCUUAAGAGGAGUAUGAGGGUCACUCGGCGUGUCUGUAAACUGGUGAUGACUCCUGUGCGAGCUAACCCAUUCUAAUGGACUUCCCUGUAAUAUAAACACCAAAAACCAACUUACAAAACUUUGUAAAUGAAGAUUGUAGUAACUAAAAGUGAAAAAGAAUGAAAGCUAGAGAAUAUAUGAUGAACCUGAAGUNAAUGAACGGCACAAUAGGNNNNNNNNNNNNNNNNNNNNCUACUACUCUCUACUCUCUCUCUCUCUCUCUCUCUCUCUCUCUCUCUCUCUCUCUCUCUCUCUCUCUCUCUCUCUCUCUCUCUCUCUCUCUCUCUCUCUCUAACUCAAACAAUUUGAAUACCUUUGUCUCGUCGAUCUCUCUCUCUCUCUCUCAUCUCAUUGAUAUGUCAUUUUCUUAUCAAAAUUGAUCUCGUUGCAAGAAACUAAUUCCUUUUGUAUGCUCUGUCUUCUCACUCCUCUCACAUAGUAUGUGAAUAUUCUAAUUCAAUUAAGUUCAAAGUCUACUAAUAUAUGAGUUAAGUCUACCAGUAACAUGAGCAAACUGACAUACAAAAAUAGACUUUCUGGAAAAUUAUUCUUCAUAAGAUGCAAAGUCUAGCUACUAGUAACAUGAAUUAAGUCUACCAGUAACAUGAGCUAACUAGCAUACAAAAAUAGACUUUCUGAAAAAUUGUUCACUCCUAAUGCUGGUCACUAGUCAUUAGUCACCUUAUUGACUACGUUGUCUAACUUGUUUUCUUUUCUGUCUACGUUUUGCACUAUUCACUCAAUAGCAACAUACACGGCUUAAAACAGACGAAAUACACGCUCAUGGUAACGUUUAGUGAAUUUUCAAACAUUGACUAUAUGCAGUUGAUGUGCUCAUAUUAUCUUAUAUUUCUAAGCGUCUUAUGCUUGAGAUUUGUGUUUAGUUCUCUUCUUUAUGAAUUAUUUACGUUAUUUUAGUGUUCUUGUAGGUUUGUGUCGUAUGGAGAAGAAAAUGAGCUAAAAUGCGCAAAUAAGGAUUCAAAGGCCACUGCAAUCCUAAGUCUCAAAAUCUGCAUGUGCAGAACAUCCAAACUUCUCUGAAUUACCGGGAAUUACUCAGAUCAAAUCAGACUAUGUGCCUUAUAUUAUUGGAAAACUACAUAUGUCUACUUUCUGUAGAAGUUUACGGAUCUCAAUUUCGAUACUUCUAGACCGAGUUAUGAUAGUUUGAAUGAAGAUAGGUCAAAUCAGAAAAUGUGCUCGGAUUUGCAAGCAUUUGUGGAGAACUCAAGUUCCAUGGCACAAGAUCAUCAACUCUAAUGCUUCAAGGGACAAUAAUGCAGAUGAGGAUUCAAGGAGUAAAUGUAUUCUUAGUUCUACAAUAGAUAUCUCAAGGUUUUCUCAUUCCAUAUCAAGAAAGGAGUCUGAAUCCAAGUCUUACAAAGAAACUUGAAGCCAAAGAUGAGUAGGAAAUCUCCCCUAUAUAAAGAGCACGAAUUUCAUAGAGAAGGGGCUUCCGGAGACGUGACAUAUUUGGAAGCUGUCAUCAUCACCAACCUUUCAUUCUUUUUCCCUUUUAGUCUUUUUAUGUUUUUCAUUGUUAUCAUCGUGUUUGUUAUGACUCUUAGUAACUAAAUCUUUUGUUAGGGUCAUAAUGAAUCCUUAGCAUGACUAUUUGAUGUUUUUAGUUGGAUGAUUACUUAUUUAUUGGAUUGAUGUUGAGUUUUUAAUCUCUAUAAGAAUUGUUGCUUAUUUCAAAAUACUAGAGACUCGCGACCUUUAGGGUUUUGUUUUAAGCUAUAUGAUGCAAGAGUAGGUAGAUGCCCAUGCUGAAUCUUGAAUGCUUCUUGUGAUUAAAAACCAUAGAUUGAUAAGAUAGAUGCCAUGUUUUAUUGGUUUGUGUGAGUCCUUUUGUUCUCAUCGAACUUCAUUGACCCUUAGAGAUUAGAUGCCAUACUUCUAAGAAUUGUUGGAUACUAUACUCUGUUAUAAGAUAGUAUUUAUGCUUUGGAGAACUUAUGUUUAUAAGUACUCUGCCAUAAGACUUAUAUGACGAAUUUUUCAACACCGGUUUAGUAGUUAGUAAUCGGAAGACUAGGAACUCGAAUAAGAUUGUGACGGUGAAGUUAGAAGCCCUAGCAUUCAUCCAUCAUUGUUUUACAACUUUUCAAAACAUCUUCUCAAUUAUCUUGUGUGACAUUCUCAAUUUGCUUGUUUUACUCUUUUCUUAUUGUUUACAAAAAUCACAAAAAUAUCUUCUUGUUUUCUUGUUAGUCGUUAGAGUAAUUUGGUCAUUAGUUAGAGUUGAAAGUUAGUUAUCUAUCCCUAGUUGGAACGACCUCGUAUUUGCAUAUAAGCUAUACUACAAACGAUUCGUGCACUUGCGAAGUUUUUAAAAUUUGACAACAGCAGUGUUCUAAAACAAGGUUGCCUAGGCGGCUUUUAGACGUUUUAAGUAUGAGCUUCAUCCUGAAAGGACCAGUGAAUUUUCAAACCUUACUUGUACCAGGUUUUAAAUUGUAUAGUUUGUCGAUUCACCAUUUUAAAAUAACUUAAAGCUGGCAAAAAAACUAGCUAGAUGUGUUGGAAACUUUAAAUUGAGUAUUCUCAUGCUCGAUCCAUAAUUUUUAAACACUAGUAGUCGAAUUUCUUCUCAAUCCUCCGAUCUCCUUGAUUACACCUUGGACAAAGUUGGAUGACAUCUUUUACAUAGUAUCGACAUGGCUUGUACACCGCAAAUUGAAUAAUAUAUUUAUGUAUUUUUAAUACAUAAAAAAUAUACUAAAAUAUGAAAUAAGUUCAUUACAUUGCCAAAAUUAUGUUCUAAAUUCAAUUUUUUUUUUGUCUAAAUUCAACACAUUGCAUAAACAUAUUAAAAUAACAUUAAAGAGAAUUAAAUGGAAGUUAUUAAAGAGAAUCAAAUGACUAGUUCCGAUAUAGGUUGUAAAAAAAUUAGGCAUCAACUUAGUAACACAACAACCCUCUAACACGUACCUAAUAGACAAGAAAAUUUCAAUCAUUCCAUAAUUCAUCUAAACCUCUCUUUAUAAACUGUUAUAAACAUGAACGGUUCGAGUUCGACAAAAUUAUGUUCAUCCAUUGGUUUAAUCGAAUUUGAGUGUCUUAAUGAUAACCAAAUUAGCUGAAAUUUUACAAAGAUGAUCUAUACAUUAGUAUCUAAAUAUUAGACGGUGGAGAUGUGAAAAUUCGAUUGAAAAGUGAGUGUAAAGCGGAAAUCCGCACCGUAAAAAUAAAUAAAUACCUCCUUAGCCAAGAAAGCUUGUAUAUAUAUAUUAAAAAUUGAUGACGUGGCUUGUCAGAGGUUGAGAUGGCAUGUCGGUCAACGUGUCGGAAAAGUCAACAUUUUCCGACAUGUGUCAGAGGUGUGUCGUUGUGUCGGACACUCCGACAGUCCAGGGGUGUGAAGCGUCCGUGCAACAUAGCUUUUAACUAUGAUUUUCAUAUCUAAAGUUGUCCUACGACUCUAGGAGGUUCUCUUUGUAAUUUAUAUGGUAUUUUUCUUAUAUAUUAACUGAAAAUAAUUUAUUUAAAGAAAAAUUAUUUUACUAGUAGAAUGUAACAAUAAAAUCAAUGUUAUACCAUCAUAUAUAUAUAUAUAUAUAUGUGAACCUAGCUUCUAGUGUCGGAUAAGGGAGCUAUGAACUCUCCAGUACGUAUGAGACUGAAAAAUUGGUCAUAGCGAUCAUGGAGACUCUAAAACCGACACAAUGCCAAUAAAGAUGGUAGAAUAACGCCGGUAUACCAAACGGCUAAUGGCUACAAACCCGCGAAGGAUGUACAUGCAUGUGCACAAAUAUUCAACUCCCCCUCUUGAUGAGUGAAUACACGUGAUUAUUUAAGUAAAAUAAGACAUUAUUAAUUAUCACCGGUGCAUUAUGAUUAACUUUCUACAGAGUACAUGAUGUUGAUGAGUUUCUAUUGGAUUCUUGUAUCAUUGAAGUGCGGAGUUCAGCUAGUCAUUCAUUUUUGACAACACAAAUCGAUACAUUUCUAGCAUAAGAAACUUAAUAUAUAGCUAGUUAUUGCGGACUGGGGCUAUCAGGCUUUGAGCAAUAAUAACGUACAUGUGGUUGCGUGCAUGGUCACAGAGUAAAUUAGGUGACUAUCUACCACGAUAUUUAUUUUGGUUCUUGAUUUGGUAUGGUAUGUCUGAUGGGUCCGAAGGACACAGAAGAAUGAAGAUACGGAGGAGUGAUACAACCCUUAAGCAGCGGUAACUCUAGAUUACUUAGAAGAUGACUGGUUACUAGGUAGCUGGAAUUGACUUGAAUGAGUUUGAUCAGAAAANNNNNNNNNNNNNNNNNNNNGAGAAAGAUAAACUCGAUCUUAUAUUGAUAAAAAAUCAUGUUGAACUUAUUUCACUUUGGUUCAACACAGAAACAAAAGCAAUGUUGUAAUACAGGAAAUAGAUAUAUGUAGUACUCGUACACGCUUAGGUCUCCCUUGAAUCAUUUGACUUUGGUUUCGAACCUUCCCUCCUGCUCCAUGCUACUGACUUUGUUUGAUAAAGCUUUUCGGUUUUUCUGAAGCUCAGUCGGGAGCUUAACGUCAGUUGCCAAACCAACCAUUUCAAGAAACCUUAUCAAAUACCAAGUAAUAUCGAUUUGCCACCAUUCGAAACCUUGUCGAGCUGAGUACUCAAAAGCAUGGUGAUUAUUAUGCCAACCUUCUCCAUGAGCUAGCAAUCCAAACAACCUAAACCACACAAUUCAUAAUUAGAUUUCAUUACAUGUAGAGAAAUAGAAACUAUAUAUAUACUUUGUAAUCAUAUCAAGUGCGUAUACCAGUUGUUUUUGGACAAAUCACCAGUAUCCCAUACUUGGUUUCCCCAUAUGUGGCAGAUCGAAUUUAUCGAAAAUGUUACAUGGAGAAGAAAUAUUGUUCUCACCGCCUACAAAUAAUCAAAAGAAUUAAACAUAGUUACGGAUUUGUUACAUAGAAAGGACGAUGCAUUUAGAUAUUAGCAAAUGUAUAUAAGAGAAGUUUAAUUACCAGUGCCCAAACUAAAUAAGGCAUUCCUCCUAUGCGAUAGAGCACAACUCCACAAGCAAUACAGUGAUAAGGGUAAGUGUAAUGAAGAAACUUAUAGAAGCUUUGUUUCUUCAAAUCUCCAACAUUGUAUAGUUUUCCAUCAUACUGCACAAUUUCAAAUUUAAUUAACAAUAAGUACGUGUUAAUUUAAUAUAAAAAAAAGUAGUGCUAAAGGGCCUUAAUAAAACCAAAUAUUUGUGGCCUUAAUCCUAUGUGUCAUGCAUAGUAAGUAAAUAAAAUACUUAUUUCCUAUUCCACGUACAUAAUAUUUCUUGCCAAAUCAUAAGAUUGCAUUACCAAUUUUACCAUUUCCAUUUUCUUUUAGAUCUUAAGAAGAAGGUAAAUCAAUGAUAUUAAUGAAGUUUUAUUAAAUAAUGGAAACAAAUAUUGCAUAUUAAUAACAACCUUUAAUUAUGUAUAAAUCUAAGGAAUGUUUCUUAUAUAUUGAAUUAACAUGUUUUUCAAUUUUAAUUAUUUUUAUCAAAUAAACUCUAAACUCUAACCCUAGUUCGUCCAAAAACUAAAUUCAGAUUAUAAUUAUUCAAAAUUAUCUAUAAUUCGUCCAACAAAAAAAUUUAUAUACAAAUAAUUCCUCUAAAUGAUUUACAUACAGAUUAUUGUUUUAAUUCGUCCAACAAAAUUAUAUAAUAUACUCUUUGUAAAUAUUAUAAUAUAAAGUUAGGGGGAAAUUUUGAUUUUUUAUAUUUCUAUUUAAUUACAUAUUUAGAAAAAGAAAGCUAAAAUAGUUUUUUUUUAAUGGAAAACUAAAAAUUUAGAUCUAUUGUUCGGAAUGGUAAGAUGGUCUUUUUACUUAAGUAUUAUAUGACAUAAGAUUUUAAAUAUGUUAUGUGUCUAAAUAUUUGGUAUGCCAUAUAGGUUUAAAGCCUAAAAUCAUUUUCCCAAAAAAAUUAUGCAUGUAGUAAUUAAUCAAGUGAGGAGAACAUGAGAUUUCUACGUACACUCCCAAAACGUUUACGAAAAUCAAAAAUCCAGCCAAUAUGACUAAACCAGAAACCCUUAAGAGGAGUAUGAGGGUCACUCGGCGUGUCUGUAAACUGGUGAUGACUCCUGUGCGAGCUAACCCAUUCUAAUGGACUUCCCUGUAAUAUAAACACCAAAAACCAACUUCAAAACUUUAUAAUGAAGAUUGUAGUAACUAAAAGUGAAAAGAAUGAAAGCUAGAGAAUAUAUGAUGAACCUGAAGUGAAUGAACGGCACAAUAGGCGAAGAAGUAUUCCAGCCAUUUGGGAAGCUUGAAGCUUUUGUGGGCGAGAUUUCUAUGGAAAGAUAGAGUUACUCCCACACCGGUGACAUAGUAGAGUGCUACACCCAACCAAAACGCAGACCAGGUGAAGUAAAAUGGCGCCAGAAGAGCAAUGAGAUGAACAACAGAGAGGGUGAUGACACUAGCGAUGUCGACGCCAUUCCAUUGCCUCCCCAGAAAAUAUACCGGCUUCUGCACCACCCAAAGCAGCCUUGCCAUUUUCUUCAAGCUAAGCUUAUAUUAUCUGCUUUGCU